GACGAACGCUGGCGGCGUGCCUAAUACAUGCAAGUAGAACGCUGAAGGAGGAGCUUGCUCUUCUGGAUGAGUUGCGAACGGGUGAGUAACGCGUAGGUAACCUGCCUGGUAGCGGGGGAUAACUAUUGGAAACGAUAGCUAAUACCGCAUAACAGUAGAUGUUGCAUGACAUUUACUUAAAAGGUGCAAUUGCAUCACUACCAGAUGGACCUGCGUUGUAUUAGCUAGUUGGUGGGGUAACGGCUCACCAAGGCGACGAUACAUAGCCGACCUGAGAGGGUGAUCGGCCACACUGGGACUGAGACACGGCCCAGACUCCUACGGGAGGCAGCAGUAGGGAAUCUUCGGCAAUGGACGGAAGUCUGACCGAGCAACGCCGCGUGAGUGAAGAAGGUUUUCGGAUCGUAAAGCUCUGUUGUAAGAGAAGAACGAGUGUGAGAGUGGAAAGUUCACACUGUGACGGUAUCUUACCAGAAAGGGACGGCUAAAUACGUG
This 495-nucleotide ribosomal RNA is filed under the name uncultured bacterium. Its description in RNAcentral is "partial 16S ribosomal RNA". It matches the Rfam family "Bacterial small subunit ribosomal RNA", at positions 28 to 507 of the family's 1533-position model. The record is from RNAcentral.